ACCGUCAAUGCAUCCCCAUCAUCUGAAGUAUCCGAACCAGUUUUAUUUUCUGCUAUAUUGCCUUGAAAGUUUUUUGAUUCAAAUUUUGUAUCAACUCCUUUGGCUCGGUAAUCUUUCUUUACGUGCCCUGUUUUUCCAUAAUUCUAGCAUUUUACCUUCUUUUUAUCUUUGGAUUUAAACAUUGUCUUCUCUCGAUCACCACGUUCCCCUUCGAAAGGCC
This 220-nucleotide long non-coding RNA is filed under the name Elaeis guineensis (African oil palm). RNAcentral's name for it is "long non-coding RNA (EGUI_LNC073956)". The record is from RNAcentral. Lineage: Eukaryota; Viridiplantae; Streptophyta; Magnoliopsida; Arecales; Arecaceae.